GACGAACGCUGGCGGCGUGCCUAACACAUGCAAGUCGAACGGAGCUUUGAGAGCUUGCUCUUAAAGCUUAGUGGCGAACGGGUGAGUAACGCGUGAGCAACCUGCCUUUCAGAGGGGGACAACAGUUGGAAACGACUGCUAAUACUGCAUAAUGUCAUCUGGGGACAUCCCCUAAUGACCAAAGGAGCAAUCCGCUGAAAGAUGGGCUCGCGUCUGAUUAGCUAGAUGGCGGGGUAACGGCCCACCAUGGCGACGAUCAGUAGCCGGACUGAGAGGUUGAUCGGCCACAUUGGGACUGAGAUACGGCCCAGACUCCUACGGGAGGCAGCAGUGGGGAAUAUUGGGCAAUGGGCGAAAGCCUGACCCAGCAACGCCGCGUGAGGGAAGAAGGUCUUCGGAUUGUAAACCUCUUUUUAACCAGGGACGAAGAACGUGACGGUACCUGGAGAAAAGC
RNAcentral lists this ribosomal RNA (454 nucleotides) under uncultured bacterium. Its description in RNAcentral is "bacterial SSU rRNA". It matches the Rfam family "Bacterial small subunit ribosomal RNA", at positions 28 to 491 of the family's 1533-position model. The record is from RNAcentral.